AUUAAUAUACUUUCAGGGAUCAUUUCUAUAGUUCGUUACUAGAGAAGUUUCUCUGAUCGUGUAGAGCACCCGAAACCACGAGGAAGACGCAGCGUUUUCCCCUGAGCAUGAAGUUGGCGUUUGGUGCUGCUUAAUGCAGCUGCCAUUGGCCGUUGAUGAUCGUUCUUUUCUCCCGUCUGGGAGAGUAAGAGGGAGAAAACACCGUCUGAGUGGA
Small nucleolar RNA from Bos indicus x Bos taurus (hybrid cattle), 214 nucleotides. Its record names the gene U3. It matches the Rfam family "Small nucleolar RNA U3". Rfam says of the family: Small nucleolar RNAs (snoRNAs) are involved in the processing and modification of rRNA in the nucleolus. There are two main classes of snoRNAs: the box C/D class, and the box H/ACA class. The record is from Ensembl. NCBI's taxonomy places the organism in Eukaryota, Metazoa, Chordata, Mammalia, Artiodactyla, Bovidae.